AGGCUUUGAUCCUGGCUCAGAUUGAACGCUAGCGGGAUGCUUUACACAUGCAAGUCGAACGGCAGCGCGGACUUCGGUCUGGCGGCGAGUGGCGAACGGGUGAGUAAUGUAUCGGAACGUGCCCAGUAGCGGGGGAUAACUACUCGAAAGAGUAGCUAAUACCGCAUACGCCCUAAGGGGGAAAGGGGGGGAUCUUAUGACCUCUCACUAUUGGAGCGGCCGAUAUCGGAUUAGCUAGUUGGUGGGGUAAAGGCCUACCAAGGCUGCGAUCCGUAGCUGGUUUGAGAGGACGACCAGCCACACUGGGACUGAGACACGGCCCAGACUCCUACGGGAGGCAGCAGUGGGGAAUUUUGGACAAUGGGGGCAACCCUGACCCAGCCAUCCCGCGUGUGCGAUGAAGGCCUUCGGGUUGUAAAGCACUUUUGGCAGGAAAGAAAUCGCGCGGGCUAAUACCUCGCGUGGAUGACGGUAC
Molecule: ribosomal RNA, 475 nt
Filed under: uncultured Alcaligenaceae bacterium
Lineage: Bacteria; Pseudomonadati; Pseudomonadota; Betaproteobacteria; Burkholderiales; Alcaligenaceae
Description: bacterial SSU rRNA
Rfam family: Bacterial small subunit ribosomal RNA
Source: RNAcentral